GUUAAGGAUAAGCACAAGUCAAAGCCAAGCAAACAUGUGCUGGCAAUAUAACUAUAGGCGUGUAAACAUGAUGGCAAUACAUAUCCAUAUAGCUGUCAAAAUAUUGUAUCAUAAUUGUAUUUAAAAUAGGAUUUCUAUUAUAGGUAAUUAUAGACUAGACAAUUAUAGGCAAUUAGUGUACAGAUCCUUGUACUCUCAUAUAUACAUAUGUACAUCAAAUUACAACGUAUACAACAAUUUCACGAUACAAUAUUCUUGCCUCUUCUUGUAUGUAUCAAUUCAUUCUCUUUCUUAUAUGGUAUCAGUUUUUUUCUGGUUAAUCUCCAUCACUUUGUUUCUAUCACUUUGUUUCCAUCCUUCUUCAUCAUCACACUUAUUCACUCUUAUCACCAUGUCUGAUGUUCCACCGCCAAUCUCCACCAUCCCAAUUCCUUCACAAAAUCCACCCAUCAAUGAUCACUCCACAACCACUUCCAACACCGAUCCUUGUGUUAUUCACCAUUCCGACAACCCUGCAACUGUCCUGGUUACCCCUCUGCUCACUGUCGAUAAUUAUGGUUCAUGGAGCCGCGCCGUAACAAUGGCACUUCGUGCCAAAAAUAAAUUCGGUUUUGUCGAUGGAACACUAACCUGUCCGAAGAAGGAAUAUGAUAUCCCUAGAUGGCGACGUUGCAACGAUAUGGUUGCAAGUUGGAUUCUCAACUCGGUUUCAACCGAGAUUCGCCCCAACAUUCUAUAUGCUGAAACAGCGGCGCAAAUUUGGAUCGAUCUAAAGGAUCGUUUUUCUCAGUCCAAUGCUCCAAAGAUAUAUCAGUUGAAACAAUCUAUCUCUGCCCUUAAACAAGAGGGCAUGUCUGUAUCUCUGUAUUUCACCCAAUUGAAAUCUCUCUGGGAUGAACUUCAUUCCAUCGCACCUAUCAAUCCGUGCAUCUCACUACAACAAAAUUGCAUUUUAGCUUCAAAAAUAUUAGCGUCUGCCCCGACGCGGACGCUAUUAGCGUCUAUUUAGAGUCUGUAUGACUGACGCUACUGUCUUUUUAUUGUAAAUCUUUAUUUUAAUUAAAUAAUUAUAGAUAGCGUCCGCUUUGAUAGACACGAUUGAGACACUAAUAAAAAAUAAAAUAAAAUUCAUCUUAGAGUCUACUGGAGCGGACUCUAAUAAACAAUAAAUUAAAUAAAAAAAAACUUUUUGUUAAGAGCCAAUUUUUUUUCCCAAUUUUUCAUUUUCCCACUUUUUUUCUUUUCAUUCCCUAUUUCAGCAAUGAGCAAUAAUAUAUCAUUUGAUAUAUUUUUGCUUUUCUUUCUCAAAUACACAAAAAGAAGUGACAAAAAAAUACAGAAAAAGAAGAAAACAACCCUAAUCCUCCAACAAUGGGUAAACGGAAUUGAAUUCGUCAGAAUGGGUGAACCAAAUUCGUCUCAACAACCGUAAUCCUCCGAAUUCGUCCCCGUCGAAGAACAAUCCGCUGUGGAAGAAGAAAACCCUUCCAUCAACCCUAAUCCGUGAAGAACAACCCCAAUCACUCCGCCGUUAUUAUCCAUCGUUCUCGUGGUUACAAGAUUAUUUGAAUCCAUUUCAUGCAUAUGAUGAAGGGAAUCUUACAUGGCUGGUUCUCUUACUUUUAUCGUGCCUCAUUGGAUUAUAUAGUAAAAUGUGGGAAGCAGCCUGACUUACUGCAUCUUCUUCCGUCAGGCCUUGCCGUGUGUUUUGUCUUUGGAAAAGGAUGCAGUUUUUUAAUACAGAGUGUUGUUUUCUCUUCUUGAAUGGAUGGCAAUUUACUUAAGGAUGGACUUCCAUCUUAUGCCCUUUGGCUUUUCAUUUACGAUGUAGUUUAUUUAUCCUAUUGUUUUAGAUCAAUUUUUAGAGCAAGUACUGAUGCGGUUUUGAUAGGUGCUUAGGACUAUUUUGGUGGGUUAUAUAUUAGUGAGUUAUAUUUUGAUAGGUGCUUAGGACUAUUUUGAUGGGUUAUAUAUUUUGUGGGAUAUUUUGGUGGAUUAUUUAUUAGUGGAUUAUAUUUUCAUGGAUGUAGACCUUUUUUGUUGACAUUAUAUAUGGUUAUAUGGUAUAAAUAGAAGGUCCAGUAAAAAACUAUUUAAUUUAU
This is a long non-coding RNA of Trifolium pratense (red clover), 2102 nucleotides long. RefSeq lists it as uncharacterized. NCBI's taxonomy places the organism in Eukaryota, Viridiplantae, Streptophyta, Magnoliopsida, Fabales, Fabaceae. The record is from RefSeq and is a predicted model, not a curated record. The transcript has 4 exons.